This 1220-nucleotide long non-coding RNA is filed under the name Triticum aestivum (bread wheat). RNAcentral describes it as "long non-coding RNA (TAES_LNC002658)". The stretch from base 249 to 363 matches the Rfam family "MIR1120/MIR1122 microRNA precursor family". The record is from RNAcentral. Lineage: Eukaryota; Viridiplantae; Streptophyta; Magnoliopsida; Poales; Poaceae.
CAGGGGCUACGAUUCAAGUACAAUCUCCAAAUAUCUCAAAGUUGCUUCAGGUAACUUUUUCCACCGCUGCCUUACCAUCUGCCACUUCCUGUGCAUGCUAAAUUAUAUUACCAGAUUAAUUAAAACAAGUUCUUCAUGGUGGAGAGAGGGAGGGGGGGCUGUAUCAUCAUAUCAAUCACACACAGACAUUUUAGGGUCUAGGGUGGAUACUCUGAGUUCAACCGAAAUAAGAUAUGCUAGUUAGGUCAAUGGUACUCCCUCCGUUCGAAAAAGCUUGUCCCUUAAAUGAAUGUAUCUACCACCAAGUCAGUGCUAGAUACAUUCAUUUGAAAGACAAGCUUUUUCGAGCGGAGGGAGUACGUACCAUUCAUCUGAAGACAUUUCUAGGAUCGGUGACGUCUAGCGCUGCUGAUUUGGGAAUACCAUGCUGAGGUGUUGAAGACAUUAUAGUAUAUAGAUACACACCGGCAACAUACAAAUCUAGCAUGUGGUGGAAGCAGAUAUACGGCCAAUACUCAAGUAAAAUGCUAGCAUUUGGGAACCACUGAAAUUCUCCCCAGAGCAAUUACCUUUUCCUGUGACACAUUUCCACUUGGGUGUUGCUGGAUUCUACUACUAUAAACUAUUUACUUGUAGAUCAGCUCUACAUCUUCUAACAAGUCUGAACUAUUUCAGCUUUCCGUUUCACAAGGAAGCCCAAAUUAAGUGGUGGUUAUAUAUUAGGGCUGCGCUAUGUAGUCGUUUAUGGAUCAGCUUCUUGUUUCUUCCCAACAAUUACUGAAGACUUGUGCUAAAUUUGAUGCGCCAGGUACAAAAGAAAAUUAAUAUCGAAAGGACCAGAGAUGCCAUUACUACGAUGCAAGUAGGAUCUCCAGAAAUCUCCAAACAAGCUAGCUAGCCAGGGAAUCCAUAUGAUUGCCGGGACAAGAAGGCGCAGCUGCAGUGUGCAUGAUAUAUGGUGUUGGGCGGGCCGAUGAUUAAUCCGGGUGUGGUAUGAGAUGAGCAAGGCUAGUGAUUCCCUGGCAUAUCAAGUUAGAACUAAUAUAUAAUCUUUUAGAUAAAAGACCUUACAUUAGUUUACAGAGGAACACUUCUUAGAAAUGCAGUACAAUAUGCGUUGCCCUUUUGAUUGCUGCAGGGUGUCUGUUGUCAUGUCUUGUGCACAGAUAUGCAGGACAACUUGCUGCACGUACGUUUGAUGUUUAUUAGGUGGUGGCGUG